UACGAGGGGGGCAAGCGUUGUUCGGAAUUAUUGGGCGUAAAGGGCGCGUAGGCGGUGCGGUAAGUCACCUGUGAAAACUCUGGGCUCAACUCAGAGCCUGCAGGCGAAACUGCCGUGCUUGAGUGUGGGAGAGGUGCGUGGAAUUCCCGGUGUAGUGGUGAAAUGCGUAGAUAUCGGGAGGAACACCUGUGGCGAAAGCGGCGCACUGGACCACAACUGACGCUGAGGCGCGAAAGCUAGGGGAGCAAACAGG
RNAcentral lists this ribosomal RNA (253 nucleotides) under uncultured bacterium. RNAcentral's name for it is "partial 16S ribosomal RNA". It matches the Rfam family "Bacterial small subunit ribosomal RNA", at positions 524 to 776 of the family's 1533-position model. The record is from RNAcentral.